GCUUGUCUCAAAGAUUAAGCCAUGCAUGUCUAUGUAUAAACAAGUAUACUGUGAAACUGCGAAUGGCUCAUUAAAUCAGUUAUAGUUUAUUUGAUAGUACCUUACUACUUGGAUAACCGUGGUAAUUCUAGAGCUAAUACAUGCUGGCGUGCCCGACUUUUGUGGAAGGGCGGUAUUUAUUAGAUAACAAGCCAAUAUUCCUCACGGUCUAUUGUGGUGACUCAUAAUAACUGAUCGAAUCGCAAGGCCCUUGGCCGCGAUAAGUCAUUCAAGUUUCUGCCCCAUCAGCUUUCGAUGGUAGUGUAUUGGACUACCAUGGCGUUCACGGGUAACGGAGAAUUAGGGUUCGAUUCCGGAGAGGGAGCCUGAGAAACGGCUACCACAUCUAAGGAAGGCAGCAGG
RNAcentral lists this ribosomal RNA (402 nucleotides) under uncultured Strombidiidae. Its description in RNAcentral is "partial small subunit ribosomal RNA". It matches the Rfam family "Eukaryotic small subunit ribosomal RNA", at positions 30 to 432 of the family's 1831-position model. Lineage: Eukaryota; Ciliophora; Spirotrichea; Strombidiidae. The record is from RNAcentral.